RNAcentral lists this non-coding RNA (30 nucleotides) under Mus musculus (house mouse). The record is from RNAcentral. Lineage: Eukaryota; Metazoa; Chordata; Mammalia; Rodentia; Muridae.
UGAACAGAACAGAAUACCCACAGUUUGGUU